UCCCAGUGUGACCGGGAUAGGGAGAUGG
This 28-nucleotide small RNA is filed under the name Bombyx mori (domestic silkworm). RNAcentral describes it as "ovarian small RNA-2041". The record is from RNAcentral. Lineage: Eukaryota; Metazoa; Arthropoda; Insecta; Lepidoptera; Bombycidae.